RNAcentral lists this ribosomal RNA (498 nucleotides) under uncultured bacterium. RNAcentral's name for it is "bacterial SSU rRNA". It matches the Rfam family "Bacterial small subunit ribosomal RNA", at positions 28 to 526 of the family's 1533-position model. The record is from RNAcentral.
GAUGAACGCUGGCGGCGUGCUUAACACAUGCAAGUCGAGCGAAGCAAUUUUAAGGAAGCCUUCGGGUGGAAAUAAAAUUGACUGAGCGGCGGACGGGUGAGUAACGCGUGGGUAACCUGCCUCAUACAGGGGGAUAACAGUUAGAAAUGACUGCUAAUACCGCAUAAGCGCACAGUGCUGCAUAGCACAGUGUGAAAAACUCCGGUGGUAUGAGAUGGACCCGCGUCUGAUUAGGUAGUUGGUAGGGUAACGGCCUACCAAGCCGACGAUCAGUAGCCGACCUGAGAGGGUGACCGGCCACAUUGGGACUGAGACACGGCCCAAACUCCUACGGGAGGCAGCAGUGGGGAAUAUUGGACAAUGGGGGAAACCCUGAUCCAGCGACGCCGCGUGAGUGAAGAAGUAUUUCGGUAUGUAAAGCUCUAUCAGCAGGGAAGAAAAUGACGGUACCUGACUAAGAAGCCCCGGCUAACUACGUGCCAGCAGCCGCCGUAAAAC